Molecule: ribosomal RNA, 253 nt
Filed under: uncultured bacterium
Lineage: Bacteria
Description: partial 16S ribosomal RNA
Rfam family: Bacterial small subunit ribosomal RNA
Source: RNAcentral
UACGAAGGGGGCUAGCGUUGCUCGGAAUCACUGGGCGUAAAGCGCACGUAGGCGGAUUGUUAAGUCAGGGGUGAAAUCCUGGAGCUCAACUCCAGAACUGCCUUUGAUACUGGCGAUCUCGAGUCCGGGAGAGGUGAGUGGAACUGCGAGUGUAGAGGUGAAAUUCGUAGAUAUCAGGAAGAACACCCGUGGCGAAGGCGGCUCUCUGGUACGUGACUGACGCUGAGACGCGAAAGCGUGGGGAGCGAACAGG